RNAcentral lists this unclassified non-coding RNA (226 nucleotides) under Glomus sp. Its description in RNAcentral is "partial contains 5.8S ribosomal RNA and internal transcribed spacer 2". The stretch from base 1 to 71 matches the Rfam family "5.8S ribosomal RNA", at positions 84 to 154 of the family's 154-position model. Lineage: Eukaryota; Fungi; Glomeromycota; Glomeromycetes; Glomerales; Glomeraceae. The record is from RNAcentral.
GUGAAUCAUCAAAUUUUUGAACGCAAAUUGCACUCUCUGGUAUUCCGGAGAGUAUGCCUGUUUGAGGGUCAGUUUAAAUAAAAAUCUGAGUUGUUGCUGCCUUUCGUGGUGACGCCCCGGGUUUGGGUCGUCUUGCCUUCGGUUAAGUGACCUAAAAUUUUGCUUGAUUUUUUUAGAACGGAUGUAAAUGAUCUUAUGUACGUUUGCGAUGUCGCAUACUAUGUGU